This 765-nucleotide ribosomal RNA is filed under the name Vreelandella venusta. RNAcentral describes it as "bacterial SSU rRNA". It matches the Rfam family "Bacterial small subunit ribosomal RNA", at positions 33 to 796 of the family's 1533-position model. The record is from RNAcentral. Lineage: Bacteria; Pseudomonadati; Pseudomonadota; Gammaproteobacteria; Oceanospirillales; Halomonadaceae.
UGGCUGGGGGGCGGCCUACCAUGCAGUCGAGCGGUAGCACAGAGAAGCUUGCUUCUUGGGUGACGAGCGGCGGACGGGUGAGUAAUGCAUAGGAAUCUGCCCGAUAGUGGGGGAUAACCUGGGGAAACCCAGGCUAAUACCGCAUACGUCCUACGGGAGAAAGGGGGCUCCGGCUCCCGCUAUUGGAUGAGCCUAUGUCGGAUUAGCUAGUUGGUGAGGUAAAGGCUCACCAAGGCAACGAUCCGUAGCUGGUCUGAGAGGAUGAUCAGCCACAUCGGGACUGAGACACGGCCCGAACUCCUACGGGAGGCAGCAGUGGGGAAUAUUGGACAAUGGGCGCAAGCCUGAUCCAGCCAUGCCGCGUGUGUGAAGAAGGCCCUCGGGUUGUAAAGCACUUUCAGCGAGGAAGAACGCCUAGCGGUUAAUACCCGCUAGGAAAGACAUCACUCGCAGAAGAAGCACCGGCUAACUCCGUGCCAGCAGCCGCGGUAAUACGGAGGGUGCAAGCGUUAAUCGGAAUUACUGGGCGUAAAGCGCGCGUAGGUGGCUUGAUAAGCCGGUUGUGAAAGCCCCGGGCUCAACCUGGGAACGGCAUCCGGAACUGUCAAGCUAGAGUGCAGGAGAGGAAGGUAGAAUUCCCGGUGUAGCGGUGAAAUGCGUAGAGAUCGGGAGGAAUACCAGUGGCGAAGGCGGCCUUCUGGACUGACACUGACACUGAGGUGCGAAAGCGUGGGUAGCAAACAGGAUUAGAUCCUUGGGUAGUCA